Molecule: non-coding RNA, 864 nt
Organism: Chiloscyllium plagiosum (whitespotted bambooshark)
Lineage: Eukaryota; Metazoa; Chordata; Chondrichthyes; Orectolobiformes; Hemiscylliidae
Source: RefSeq, a predicted model, not a curated record
AGUCUUAUUCUUGCGAAUUGUCCUGAUGAGGCGGAGUUGGAAAUCUCGAACUAAAUGUGUCCAUUUUUACGGCAACACUGGAGUUGUAUGCGACGAAAUGACCGCUUCAAGAAGCGCCUCGUGUGCUGCACAGCGGUCGGAGAGGGGCAUGACAAUGCCGUGAAAGGUACUAUACAAAUGCACCUCCUUGUUGCACGCUUUGGGGGCGGCGGGAAAGAUUCAAACGGUCGGCUGUUGAUGUCACUGCGCGAGUAGGCCCCGCCCUCGUGCACCACGUGACUGUCCCCCCUGCGCCUGCGCGGACAAGCGUGAGAAGAUGGCGGACAGUGCGGAACUGAAGGUAAUUUCGCAGACGGAUUGCGGCUGGAGUUCGGGCCGUUCACUGUACCCUUUCCUGUGGGAGGAUGGACGGAGAGCGGUGUGCGUAUGUGGGAGUGAGUGAGAGGGUGGAAAGAGCAGGAAGCGGCGGCCGAGGAGGAGGGAAUAGGCCGCGCUUUUCGAUCAUACCGAGAGAGAAUAAAACUGAGCUUCAAUAAAUCCGUUGCCAUUAGUCUGAAGCACUGGGCACAGACAAACAAAUGUAAUCUGCCCCCUUCAAAGAAAAUUGUAAGGAACAUGGGGAUUCUCGUAGACUGAAUAACUCCGCUAAUCCCUUGCACGAAACCACACGCACCUUUUGGAAUCGAGGUGGUCUGCUUGUGAGGUUUCGGCAAUUUCUCUGUCGUCCAUGCCCAUUCACGAAGCCUGGUUGGUGACCAGGUUUUAUCGAGGUGGAAAAGUCAGUGAACUUUGAUGGGAGAUCCUUGCAAUGUAAGUGAGACACAGUGUUUACAGGUUUUAAGUGUUUUGAAGCUUGUAUUUUAA